RNAcentral lists this ribosomal RNA (443 nucleotides) under uncultured bacterium. RNAcentral describes it as "partial 16S ribosomal RNA". It matches the Rfam family "Bacterial small subunit ribosomal RNA", at positions 338 to 795 of the family's 1533-position model. The record is from RNAcentral.
CCUACGGGAGGCAGCAGUGGGGAAUAUUGGGCAAUGGGCGCAAGCCUGACCCAGCAACGCCGCGUGAAGGAAGAAGGCUUUCGGGUUGUAAACUUCUUUUCUCAGGGACGAAGCAAGUGACGGUACCUGAGGAAUAAGCCACGGCUAACUACGUGCCAGCAGCCGCGGUAAUACGUAGGUGGCAAGCGUUAUCCGGAUUUACUGGGGGUAAAGGGCGUGUAGGCGGGGACGCAAGUCAGAUGUGAAAACCACGGGCUCAACCUGUGGCCUGCAUUUGAAACUGUGUUUCUUGAGUACUGGAGAGGCAGACGGAAUUCCUAGUGUAGCGGUGAAAUGCGUAGAUAUACGGAGGAACACCAGUGGCGAAGGCGGAUUGCUGGACAGUAACUGACGCUGAGGCGCGAAAGCGUGGGGAGCAAACAGGAUUAGAUACCCCUGUAGUC